GAUGAACGCUAGCGGGAGGCUUAACACAUGCAAGUCGAGGGGCAGCAUAGGGUAGCAAUACUCUGAUGGCGACCGGCAAACGGGUGAGUAACGCGUAUGCAACCUACCCUGUACAGGGGGAUAACCCGGAGAAAUUCGGACUAAUAUCCCGUAAUAAUAUCCGGAGGCAUCUUUGGAUAUUUAAAGUUCCGACGGUACGGGAUGGGCAUGCGUAACAUUAACUGGUUGGUAAGGUAACGGCUUACCAAGGCUAUGAUGUUUAGGGGUCCUGAGAGGGUGGUCCCCCACACUGGUACUGAGACACGGACCAGACUCCUACGGGAGGCAGCAGUGAGGAAUAUUGGUCAAUGGGCGCAAGCCUGAACCAGCCAUCCCGCGUGCAGGAAGACGGCCCUAUGGGUUGUAAACUGCUUUUCCAGGGACGAGAAACUUACGCACGUGUUGCGUGACUGACGUACCCUGGGAAUAAGCAAUCGGCUAACUCCGUG
Molecule: ribosomal RNA, 488 nt
Filed under: uncultured bacterium
Lineage: Bacteria
Description: bacterial SSU rRNA
Rfam family: Bacterial small subunit ribosomal RNA
Source: RNAcentral